This 101-nucleotide transfer RNA is filed under the name Candidatus Thorarchaeota archaeon. Its description in RNAcentral is "tRNA-Ser". It matches the Rfam family "tRNA". From Rfam's summary of the family: Transfer RNA (tRNA) molecules are approximately 80 nucleotides in length. Their secondary structure includes four short double-helical elements and three loops (D, anti-codon, and T loops). The record is from RNAcentral. Lineage: Archaea; Promethearchaeati; Candidatus Thorarchaeota.
GCUGAGGUAGCCAAGCCUGGAUCACGGCGAUAGCCUGGAAAGCUAUUCUCCUUCCGGAGGCAUGAAAAUUGGCCAGAGUUCGAAUCUCAUCCUCAGCGCCA